Scylla paramamosain (green mud crab) is the source of this 1404-nucleotide long non-coding RNA. RefSeq lists it as uncharacterized. The transcript has 2 exons. Lineage: Eukaryota; Metazoa; Arthropoda; Malacostraca; Decapoda; Portunidae. The record is from RefSeq and is a predicted model, not a curated record.
AUGAUUCUCAUCAUAUUAGAAUUAUAAUGUCAUUGUUGGCACCUUUGAAUGUGGAGCGGGCAGCGUGUGUCGCUGUCAUUGGUUGGAAAGAGGUGUAAAUACGGGUUGUAUUCCAGUUACUGUAUAAUUGUUAUUGGCAUAUAUGACAAGAAUUGUAAUUAUUAUUGAGAUACAUAUAUUGUUUUCUUACUUAUUAACAAGUUUGGUAUUGGUUAGUAAUGUGUAUUUGUUUGUCAAGAGGAAGUUUUCUUUUAGGGUCUGUGUAUGUAACACGGAUAUUAUUAUACCGCACUCAGGUUGUAGGGGGAAGGUAGACAGAGGUACAGUUGGUGCCUGUCAGGGGUGAGUGGCGGUUGUUUGACUGAGGUGAGUUUUGUGAUAACAUUAUUUCUCUGAUUUGUUUGACUUAUGUUAUGCCGCUGAUUGUGCAUAUUGGUUGGUGUUAUAUUGAAUGCGGUGCUGAUAGGAGGAUUUGAUUAAGUGUAACUUUGCAGCAUAGUUGGGGUAAUGCUGUAAUCAGACAUAUGGUGAAGUCUGCCUUGGCUGAUGAUGGGCGGUCAUUUUGUGAGUACUAUUUUAUAUGUAUCGUGUGUCAUUGCAAUAGUGAAUAAUAGAAUGGGAUAUGUGUUCAUCUUAUGUUAUUCUUCUGUUUACUGGGUGAAGUUACAAGAUAUUGAAGGGAGUUACAUGAUAUUGAGGUAUGCUGUGUUUAUGUUGACAUUAAAUUUGCAGGCUGAAUCAAUCAAUAAAUCAAGAUACAGCAAGUCAGCCCAAUCAUAGUCAUUAUCCUACACUACAAUUCAGCAAAAUUCGCAGAGCAGCCAUGGAUGACUUGAAAAGGGAACGUGCUAAUGCCAAGAGGAGAUUCACCAGGAAGGUGGGACUCUUCAAGGAUGCACACAAGAGAGGAGACUCCACAGCAACCCUACAAGUUGUAGGGGGAAGGUAGACAGAGGUACAGUUGGUGCCUGUCAGGGGUGAGUGGCGGUUGUUUGACUGAGGUGAGUUUUGUGAUAACAUUAUUUCUCUGAUUUGUUUGACUUAUGUUAUGCCGCUGAUUGUGCAUAUUGGUUGGUGUUAUAUUGAAUGCGGUGCUGAUAGGAGGAUUUGAUUAAGUGUAACUUUGCAGCAUAGUUGGGGUAAUGCUGUAAUCAGACAUAUGGUGAAGUCUGCCUUGGCUGAUGAUGGGCGGUCAUUUUGUGAGUACUAUUUUAUAUGUAUCGUGUGUCAUUGCAAUAGUGAAUAAUAGAAUGGGAUAUGUGUUCAUCUUAUGUUAUUCUUCUGUUUACUGGGUGAAGUUACAAGAUAUUGAAGGGAGUUACAUGAUAUUGAGGUAUGCUGUGUUUAUGUUGACAUUAAAUUUGCAGGCUGAAUCAAUCAAUAAAUCAAGAUACAGCAAGUCAG